RNAcentral lists this ribosomal RNA (406 nucleotides) under uncultured bacterium. RNAcentral describes it as "partial 16S ribosomal RNA". It matches the Rfam family "Bacterial small subunit ribosomal RNA", at positions 30 to 526 of the family's 1533-position model. The record is from RNAcentral.
AUUGAACGCUGGCGGCAGGCCUAACACAUGCAAGUCGAACGAGUGGCGGACGGGUGAGUAAUGUCUGGGAAACAGCCCGAUGGAGGGGGAUAACUACUGGAAACGGUAGCUAAUACCGCAUCCCAUCAGAUGUGCCCAGAUGGGAUUAGCUAGUAGGGUGGGUAAUGGCUCACCUAGGCGACGCUCCCUAGCUGGUCUGAGAGGAUGACCAGACACACUGGAACUGAGACACGGUCCAGACUCCUACGUGAGGCAGCAGUGGGGAAUAUUGCACAAUGGGCGCAAGCCUGAUGCAGCCAUGCCGCGUGUGUGAAGAAGGCCUUCGGGUGGUAAAGCACUUUCAGCGAGGAGGCGUUACUCGCAGAAGAAGCACCGGCUAACUCCGUGCCAGCAGCCGCGGUAAUAC